GCAGUCGAACGAGACCUUCGGGUCUAGUGGCUCACGGGUGCGGAACGCGUGGGAAUCUGCCCUUAGGUACGGAAUAACUCAGUAGAAAUUUGUGCUAAUACCGUAUGAUGUCAAACGACCAAAGAUUUAUCGCCUAAGGAUGAGCACCGCGUAAGAUUAGGUUGUUGGUGAGGUAAAAGCUCACCAAGGCGACUAUCUUUAGCUGGUCUGACAGGAUGAUCAACCACACUGGGACUGAAACACAGCCCAAACUCCUACGGGAGGUAGCCGUGGGGAAUAUUGGACAAUGGGCGAAAGCCUGAUCCAUCUAUGCCGCGUGAGUGAUGAAGGUCUUACGGUUGUAAAGGUCUUUUACCAGCGAUGAUAAUGACAAUACCUGUAGAAUAAACUCCGGCUAACUCCGUGCCAACCUCCGCGGUAAUACGGAGGGAGCUAACGUUGUUCGGAAUUACUGCGCGUCAAGAGUACCUAUGCUGCUAUUCAAGUCAGAGGUGAAAGCCUGUACCUCAACUCCAGAACUGCCUUUGAAACUAGAUAGAUAGAAUCUUGAACAGGUGAGUGGAAUUCCGAGUGUAGAGGUGAAAUUCGUAGAUAUUCUGAAGAACACCAGUGGCGAAUGCCACUCACUGGACAAGUAUUGACACUUAUGUACAAAAGCAUGGAGAGCAAACGCGAUUACAUACCCUGAUACUCCACGUCAUACACGAUGAUAACUAGCUGUUCGGGCUCUACA
RNAcentral lists this ribosomal RNA (733 nucleotides) under uncultured Sphingomonadaceae bacterium. RNAcentral describes it as "bacterial SSU rRNA". It matches the Rfam family "Bacterial small subunit ribosomal RNA", at positions 57 to 835 of the family's 1533-position model. Lineage: Bacteria; Pseudomonadati; Pseudomonadota; Alphaproteobacteria; Sphingomonadales; Sphingomonadaceae. The record is from RNAcentral.